GCACAGACAGACUCGACAGAAAACAUGCGGAGGCGGCACAGUGCAGUUGCCACCAAAACUGAGCUUUAGACAAACCUAAACUACAGAGUGGUGCUUGGAGAGUCAGAAAACUUGGGCAGCCACCAAGGGGAAGCCAGGGUCCCUGGCGCAGAAGAGGCCAGAGAGGCCACAUCUUCUGCACACCUGAGGCCCGAUGGCCCUGCAGAAGGGAGGCAGGUUGGGAAGUGCUAGCGAAGGGCCAGCACUGACCCUGGCUCUGGGGUGAUCCAAGGACGCAGCUCAGAACUGCUUAGAAGAGGAGCCGGAGCUGCCUGAGGAAAUGGAAUGGCAGCCACAGAAACGAUGGAAAAGCGUCCUUCGUAUAAAUUCUGGGGCAGAUCUGCACCUGCAGGACCUCCCCAGUUGCUAUAGAUAUUUGGAAUAGAUCAAGUGAAAACCGAACAAGCAGAACAGAUGCCUCAUUUUGCUUACAAAACUGCUUUGAGAAUUGGGACGUGGCUACACCCCACGAAGUACAUCCCUCUGAAUUUCACCCACAUCAGAACCCAGAGCCCAGGAGAUACUCACAUUUGGACGGUUUCCAAAGGCAGCAUAGAAGGGCUGCUUAGACGGGGCAAACAGAUUCUUGAUAUCAUUUAGACACUCAAUUUUGAACUUCUCUGGUUUCUUUUCUAUCACUUCUCUAAGAAAAAAAUACAAAUACAAUCACCAAUCUCAAAA
Homo sapiens (human) is the source of this 720-nucleotide long non-coding RNA. The record is from Ensembl. NCBI's taxonomy places the organism in Eukaryota, Metazoa, Chordata, Mammalia, Primates, Hominidae.